AUACACAGAUGUUGAUGAUAAAUCACUCUGUAUCAUCUAAAAGUGUUUUCCUAUGCUUUUGCAUCUAAUACUGGAACAUUGUAAUGAUGUCACAGAAAAAGGAUUGAAACAUGUGGUAGAAAACUGCAUAAAUUUGAGAGAGCUUCGUCACUGUUAUUCGAAAAGUGAUAUGCUGAAAGAUUGAAAUUUGAGGAUUCAAAUGGUAGAAGAAUAUUUGUUGAAGGAAGACAAAGAAGCCAAUAUGAUCCUCUUAUUGUAGUUACUCAUCUUUUUGAAGGAAGACAAAGAAGCUAUUUGACUUCUUGUUAUUGCAAUACUACUUAAUUUGUAUCCAAUAGGAUAACAAUAUAUGGUAUUAGGGGAUCAAUAGAUUACACAUUACAAUUAUUCAUUCAAAAACAAUUUCACAAUGAUAUGCUUGUUUGCUUUCAAUUUGAGUAGACAACAUAUUCUUUUAU
Medicago truncatula (barrel medic) is the source of this 458-nucleotide long non-coding RNA. RefSeq lists it as uncharacterized. NCBI's taxonomy places the organism in Eukaryota, Viridiplantae, Streptophyta, Magnoliopsida, Fabales, Fabaceae. The record is from RefSeq and is a predicted model, not a curated record. The transcript has 2 exons.